RNAcentral lists this long non-coding RNA (1541 nucleotides) under Equus caballus (horse). RNAcentral describes it as "proline rich 9 (ENSECAG00000042447.2)". Lineage: Eukaryota; Metazoa; Chordata; Mammalia; Perissodactyla; Equidae. The record is from RNAcentral.
GCCCCUCCCUGCUGAGGUCUGGUGAGGACCCAGAGGCCAAAAUGGAGCCUGAUUAAUAGGCAUCCCAAGCAGUGACUCAAACUAUGGGCAAUUUCAGAGGAAGCUCAUUAUAGUGACCCCACAAUUAGGACCUCAGCCCACGUGGUCAGUCAGUCCUGUGGGAGGCUGAACCAAGCACUAUAUAAAAGUCCCUACCUGGCUGGGCUCCACAGUCCACAUCAUUGUUGAGUCUUACUGAAGAUCAGGUUCUGCAAAUCACCCUAGGAUGUCUUUUAAUGAGCAGCAGUGCAAGCAGCCAUGCACGCCUCCUCCGUGUCUUCAGAAGAUCCAAGAGCAGUGCCAGGCAAAGACUGAGGAGGUGUGCCUCCCCCCACGCCAAGACCCCUGCCAAGAAAAGUGCCCAGUGCAAUCUCAGCAGGCGUGUCUUCCUCAGUGCCAGGAGUUAAACCAAGAAAACUGCCCACAGCAAGGCCAAGAUCCAUGCCUACCUCCAUGCCAAGACCAAUGCCCACCUCAGUGUGUGGAGCCAUGCCAGGAGCUAUCUCAGACAAAAUGUGUGGAGGUUUGCCCACAGAAAGUCCAGGAGAAGUGCUUACCCCCUGGCAAGGGAAAGUAGCUGCUUAUAAUGCCAUCUGGGGUCAAGAAGAUGGCCAAGAGAUGAAAACCCAUCCCCAGCCCAUGCAAUGGUGACCUUCUCCUGUGGGUACCUCUGUGUGCACCCUGUUCUUGCCUCCAGACUUCCUCAGUGUUUCAGGACUUGCUCUGUGUCUCUGAAGACAGUUCUUUCUGUAUUUCAUGGACCUCUGUGAAUAAGUAUUGUUCUCAGCAGUCUAGUAGAAAGUCUCAACUGUAGGAAGAUUAUGGUUGUCAGAGGAGACCACAGAAGCCUAGUUCAGCUCCCUUGGGGCAAAAAUUCACCCAUCCCUGGGUGUGUAACAGCCAAGGAUGCCUCCAUUCAUCUUUCAGAGAGUCAGCCUCUCAAUCGAGCCUCAAAACAAACUGAAUUUCAAUGGACUUUGCACUGAUCACUGACUCCCACCAUGGGUGUGGGGAAGAGGUGGGUGGUGUUGCAAAAAUCAAAAAUUGGGUAAUUUUGUCUCUGCUUCCUAAAAAAGAACAGCAAAUGAUUGGAUGGGUUGUGCUUUAAAAAAAAAAAAUGAAACAAAUUAUGUAAAUGAUUGAAUCCCAACAGUCAAUCAGGAAGGAUGAGAUGGAAUGUUUGGGGUCCUGGUUGGUCUUUGUGCUUCACAGCUGGUUUGCUUUGGACCCUUCAUUUCUGCCGUGUACAUUCUUUAGAGAUGCGAUUUGUGUAUGUGUGGUGCAGGCUGGUCUGCUCUCCAGCUUCCUUGCCUUCUUCUCCCUGGUGAAGGUAAAAUACAGAAUAAAGCUGAUCCUAAAGCUGAUGUCUGACUUGACGUGUGCUCUUUCCUCUCCGGUACCCAAUUAUCUGCUAUCCUUGUCACGAUUAUGUUUUCCUUUUUUUUUUUUUUUUUGGAGAAUCCAGAGUAGGAAUAAAAAAUAUACUUCACAGAUGCAUAAAA